GAUGAGCGCUGGCGGCGUGCUUAACACAUGCAAGUCGAACGGAAAGGCCGAAGCUUGCUUCGGUACUCGAGUGGCGAACGGGUGAGUAACACGUGGGUGAUCUGCCCUGUACUUCGGGAUAAGCUUGGGAAACUGGGUCUAAUACCGGAUAUGACGAUCUCUUGGAUGGGGUUGUGGAAAGCUUUUGCGGUAUGGGAUGAGCUCGCGGCCUAUCAGCUUGUUGGUGGGGUAAUGGCCUACCAAGGCGUCGACGGGUAGCCGGCCUGAGAGGGUGUACGGCCACAUUGGGACUGAGAUACGGCCCAGACUCCUACGGGAGGCAGCAGUGGGGAAUAUUGCACAAUGGGCGCAAGCCUGAUGCAGCGACGCCGCGUGGGGGAUGACGGCCUUCGGGUUGUAAACUCCUUUCGCAAUCGACGAAGCCUUUUGGUGACGGUAGGUGGAGAAGAAGCACCGGCUAACUACGUG
RNAcentral lists this ribosomal RNA (468 nucleotides) under uncultured bacterium. Its description in RNAcentral is "partial 16S ribosomal RNA". It matches the Rfam family "Bacterial small subunit ribosomal RNA", at positions 28 to 507 of the family's 1533-position model. The record is from RNAcentral.